Molecule: ribosomal RNA, 631 nt
Filed under: Antromysis cenotensis
Lineage: Eukaryota; Metazoa; Arthropoda; Malacostraca; Mysida; Mysidae
Description: bacterial SSU rRNA
Rfam family: Eukaryotic small subunit ribosomal RNA
Source: RNAcentral
UUAGAGUGCUCAAAGCAGGCUCGAUCGCCUGAAUAAUUAUGCAUGGAAUAAUGGAAUAGGACCUCGGUUCUAUUUUGUUGGUUUUGAGACCCGAGGUAAUGAUUAAGAGGGACGGACGGGGGCAUUCGUAUUGCGACGCUAGAGGUGAAAUUCUUGGACCGUCGCAAGACGUACAACUGCGAAAGCAUUUGCCCAGAACGUCUUCAUUAAUCAAGAACGAAAGUCAGAGGUUCGAAGGCGAUCAGAUACCGCCCUAGUUCUGACCCUAAACGAUGCCAACUAGUUUUCCGUCUGUGUUAAUCCCAUGACUGGACGGGCAACUUCCGGGAACCAAAGUACUUGGUUCCGGGGGUAAGGUAUGGUUGCAAAGCUGAAACUUAAAGGAAUUGACGGAAGGGCACCACCAGGAGUGGAGCCUGCGGCUUAAUUUGACUCAACACGGGGAACCUCACCAGGCCCGGACACCAGAAGGAUUGACAGAUUGAGAGCUCUUUCUUGAUUCGGUGGGUGGUGGUGCAUGGCCGUUCUUAGUUGGUGGAGCGAUUUGUCUGGUUAAUUCCGAUAAACGAACGAGACUCUAGCCUAUUAACUAGUCGGAUGGUCUACUUUAAAAGUGCUAUCCGUAGCUUCU